Molecule: long non-coding RNA, 1306 nt
Organism: Anguilla rostrata (American eel)
Lineage: Eukaryota; Metazoa; Chordata; Actinopteri; Anguilliformes; Anguillidae
Exons: 3
Source: RefSeq, a predicted model, not a curated record
UCAGUACAUUGAUAUGAAGACAAAUUAAUGUGUUUGAAUGUGAUAAGCUUUACAUAUUGUCAUUACGUUUUCUUUAAUACAGUUCUAACCAUUUUGCACUUACUUUCUGGCUCCGGUUGUUCAUUGUGUCCAUCUCUUCAUUCAUAACCUCUCCUUACGAACCUAGCUUUAACCUGAAAAUAUUUACCUACUGCUAAGUGACCCUUUAGGUGGGUUACAAUCAUCAUAUACGUGACUAUCCUCAACUGAUACUUUGCUUUGGGCCUCUUAUUCGCUCUUGGACCCUUAGGUUUGAGAGUAAACACACACACAUUUUAAACAGUGUGCUCGCAAAUUACACAACUUCAAGAAUUUGUGAUCUGUUGAUUAUUUAGGCCUCCAACUACGUAGCUCUGUGGCUGUACACAAUGUCACCGUUAAAGGCACAAGCUACAAAAAAAGCCACGUGUGUUGUCUUUGAGAAGAAUGAUGAGGGACUAGUCUUUGGCAAGAUAGAACUGAUUCUUGUUUGCAACAGUUGUGUUUACUUUGUCACAGAGAAAUGCCAGUCUGAUUUCCUUUUGAUCAGGGGAUUUACUGCCUAAAGAUGGGCUCAGAGAACCCCAUUUCAAAUUAUUUCUGCCUCGAACAUGCAAGCCUGCUUGACUAUUACCCUUUGCCUGUGUACAACAUGUUUGGUCUGUCUCUAAUAGCCACUCCUUUCCUUCAGAAUGUCUGAUAUAAGUGAGAGCAUCAAGGACGCAGUCCUUUCUGUCCUGCCAAGUGUGCCAGAAGAAACGAUCUUACACCAGGGAGUAGAAAGCAAAGAUGACUUGCAGUACAUAAGAGAACAGGAAAUUGCAGAGGUUAAUCGACCAAUCCAGUGCAGAAAACAUUUAAAUGCAUGGAAAUGAGCAGAUGCUAUAAGUUGUGCUACCCCCCUACUCCAGUCCCCAGAAGGCAGUUCAUCGCUGUCAAGCUCCUUGAGAUCCAGUAGCCCUUCACCAUCACAUUCCAUUCGGCCACCAGUAAAGCAAAAAUGGCCAGAAACGUUCCAGGUACCCCAGGCAACCCUGUACUUUGAGUAUUUUUUGUUGCAGCUGGCUAGAGUGUCGCCGGAUUGCGCAGGUAGGCUACGUGCGUUUCGAAUUCAUCAAACUAGUUAGUAUCAUAACGGCCAAUCAUUCACCAGCGAUAGCUUAGUAUGAAAGCAUGUUUACAUGUCAGUAUUGUGGUCACCAAUGCUUAACGAAGUAUGCGUUUGUUAGGCAUAUGAAAGUACAUGCGAGUCUUCCAACCGCGUUGUUUAAAUGCGCCUUUUUUGAUU